GUAGGUGUGGGGACAUCUGUAACAGACGUAGCAAGGUAGAGACGUAGACAUAAGGACACCUGUGUCACCACAUGCGAAGAAUUCUAAGUGAACCAAGAUGAAGAAGGAAAGUCACACAUAACUGGCACAGGCUCAGAGGUGAGGAGCUCCAAAUGAGAAAACUGGGAAGAAGGAAACAGAAAUGCAGCGCGUGACGGGAUGGCGGUUGGGUCCAUCCACCAAAUGCCAUGGUGCCCCUGUGCACCCAGCACUGCACCAAGUCCAAGGCCCUGACAGGCAGAUUGUUUACCGUUUGAUCCACCGGGGAAGCUGGUGUCAUUUUAAAUGCGAGUAAACAAAUAACUUGGCAGAAAAAGAGGAGAUUUCAGAAGAGGUGGCAAGAAUACACAGAAGAACUGUACAAAAAAG
Molecule: long non-coding RNA, 408 nt
Organism: Bos taurus (domestic cattle)
Lineage: Eukaryota; Metazoa; Chordata; Mammalia; Artiodactyla; Bovidae
Source: Ensembl